Long non-coding RNA from Brienomyrus brachyistius, 773 nucleotides. RefSeq lists it as uncharacterized. Lineage: Eukaryota; Metazoa; Chordata; Actinopteri; Osteoglossiformes; Mormyridae. The transcript is spliced from 2 exons. The record is from RefSeq and is a predicted model, not a curated record.
CCCCACCGCAGCGGAGAGCAGCCAUGCAGGGACUUAGCUUCAGGCUACGCUGCAGGAGGUGGGCAGAGCUCUUCCACUCUUAAGUGGGUCCAAGAGCAUUUAGCAGCCCUGAAGAUUAGUGCCACUGACCUAAAUGCUUUGUGACAUCAAUGAAUCAGCCAUUGGCUUCGAGUUAGGGGAGCCGAAAAGGAGCGCAGGUGUUGCAUCACCUCCAGUGCCUUGGCGGUGGGUCACCAGAGAAUGGAUUGCUCAACUGUUACAGCAUUGGGACCUGCAUCUAAAAUAUUGCCAUUUAAUGUCCUUUAAGGGGUUUUACUGUUAUAUCAUGAAGGCAGAAGAUCCAGGGGGGGGUCACAGAGGAAAUAAUCAAUGGGGGUGGGAUUCAAGAUGUGCCAUGCCAGCAGCCAACAACACCCCUCUGGACCAGGCACCUCCUCGUCUACCAAAAACUGGAGCCCCCGUCAGUCAGCCUGGGCGGAGGAGGUGGCAGCACCAGAGAGGGGGAGGGGCUAAUGGACAUGGAAGUUUGGGUGAACAUACCAUAUGACUUACUGGCAACUUCAGACAAACUGCUGUGGGACUGAUUACCAUGGUGAUGGGGAAAGGCGCUACAAACAGCAUGCAAGCAGUGUUCAUUUUGUUGAUGCCAAGAAAGAUAUUAAAUUAAUGAAAACGAGAUGAUAAAAUUUAAUUUAUAACGGCAAAAACUAUUAUAAAAUGUACUUAUACUUUUGUAAACUAAUAAAAAUGGGAUGAAAAUUUCAGAAACUGAA